CCUACGGGAGGCAGCAGUGAGGAAUAUUGGUCAAUGGGCGCGAGCCUGAACCAGCCAAGUAGCGUGAAGGAUGACUGCCCUACGGGUUGUAAACUUCUUUUAUAAAGGAAGAAAGUGAGGCACGUGUGCCUUUUGGGAUGGACUUUAUGAAUAAGGAGAGGCUAACUCCGAGCCAGCAGCCGCGGUAAUAAGGAGGAUCCGAGCGUUAUCCGGAUUUAUUGGGGGUAACGGGAGCGUAGAUGGGUUGUUAAGUCAGUUGUGAAAGUUUGCGGCUCAACCGUAAAAGUGGAAUUGAUACUGGCAGUCUUGAGUACAGUUGAGGUAGGCGGAAUUCGUGGUGUAGCGGUGAAAUGCUUAGAUAUCACGAAGAACUCCGAUUGCGAAGGCAGCUUACUAAACUGCCACUGACAUUGAUGCUCGAAAGUGUGGGUAUCAAACAGGAUUAGAUACCCGUGUAGUC
This 460-nucleotide ribosomal RNA is filed under the name uncultured bacterium. RNAcentral describes it as "partial 16S ribosomal RNA". It matches the Rfam family "Bacterial small subunit ribosomal RNA", at positions 338 to 795 of the family's 1533-position model. The record is from RNAcentral.